RNAcentral lists this ribosomal RNA (396 nucleotides) under uncultured bacterium. RNAcentral's name for it is "bacterial SSU rRNA". It matches the Rfam family "Bacterial small subunit ribosomal RNA", at positions 28 to 414 of the family's 1533-position model. The record is from RNAcentral.
GGCGAACGCUGGCGGCACGCCUCAUACAUGCAAGUCGAGCGAUCGGCGGCGGGAAGCUUGCUUCCUGCCGCACGGAGCGGCGAACGGGUGAGUAACACGUGGGUAACCUGCCUCGAGGACCGGGAUAACGUCGGGAAACUGGCGCUAAUACCGGAUGUUCUUUCCGGAUCGCAUGGUCUGGAAAGGAAAUGGUCCUUCCGCCUCGAGAGGGACCCGCGUCCUAUCAGCUUGUUGGUGGGUAACGGCCUACCAAGGCUUUGACGGGUAGCCGGCCUGAGAGGGUGUUCGGCCACACCGGGACUGAGACACGGCCCGGACUCCUACGGGAGGCAGCAGUAGGGGAUCUUGCACAAUGGGCGAAAGCCUGAUGCAGCGAUGCCGCGUGAGGGAUGAAGG